AUGCUUGCUUUGGCAGCACACAUGCUAAAAUUGGAAUGAUACAGAGAAGAUUAGCAUGGCCCCUGCACAAGGAUAAUACACAAAUUUGUGAAGCAUUCCAUAUUAAA
Molecule: small nuclear RNA, 107 nt
Filed under: Tursiops truncatus (common bottlenose dolphin)
Lineage: Eukaryota; Metazoa; Chordata; Mammalia; Artiodactyla; Delphinidae
Source: RNAcentral